Molecule: ribosomal RNA, 465 nt
Filed under: Vreelandella stevensii
Lineage: Bacteria; Pseudomonadati; Pseudomonadota; Gammaproteobacteria; Oceanospirillales; Halomonadaceae
Description: partial 16S ribosomal RNA
Rfam family: Bacterial small subunit ribosomal RNA
Source: RNAcentral
CCUACGGGAGGCAGCAGUGGGGAAUAUUGGACAAUGGGGGCAACCCUGAUCCAGCCAUGCCGCGUGUGUGAAGAAGGCCCUCGGGUUGUAAAGCACUUUCAGUGAGGAAGAACGCCUGGUGCUUAAUACCCAUCAGGAAAGACAUCACUCACAGAAGAAGCACCGGCUAACUCCGUGCCAGCAGCCGCGGUAAUACGGAGGGUGCGAGCGUUAAUCGGAAUUACUGGGCGUAAAGCGCGCGUAGGUGGCUUGAUAAGCCGGUUGUGAAAGCCCCGGGCUCAACCUGGGAACGGCAUCCGGAACUGUCAAGCUAGAGUGCAGGAGAGGAAGGUAGAAUUCCCGGUGUAGCGGUGAAAUGCGUAGAGAUCGGGAGGAAUACCAGUGGCGAAGGCGGCCUUCUGGACUGACACUGACACUGAGGUGCGAAAGCGUGGGUAGCAAACAGGAUUAGAUACCCGAGUAGUC